RNAcentral lists this ribosomal RNA (468 nucleotides) under uncultured bacterium. RNAcentral describes it as "partial 16S ribosomal RNA". It matches the Rfam family "Bacterial small subunit ribosomal RNA", at positions 28 to 507 of the family's 1533-position model. The record is from RNAcentral.
GACGAACGCUGGCGGCGUGCUUAACACAUGCAAGUCGAACGGAAAGGCCCUGCUUUUGUGGGGUGCUCGAGUGGCGAACGGGUGAGUAACACGUGAGUAACCUGCCCUUGACUUUGGGAGAACUUCAGGAAACUGGGGCUAAUACCGGACAGGAGCUCCUGCUGCAUGGUGGGGAUUGGAAAGUUUCGGCGGUUGUGGAUGGACUCGCGGCUUACCAGCUUGUUGGUGGGGUAGUGGCUUACCAAGGCUUUGACGGGUAGCCGGCCUGGGAGGGUGACCGGGCACCUUGGGACUGCGGUACGGCGCAGACUCCUACGGGAGGCAGUGGUGGGGAAUAUUGCACAGUGGGCGGAAGCCUGAGGCGGCAACGUCGCGUUCGGGAUGACGUCCUUCGGGUUGUAAACAGCUUUCGCCUGAGACGAAGCGUGAGUGACGGUAAUGAGUAAAGAAGCACCGGCUAACUACGUG